RNAcentral lists this ribosomal RNA (470 nucleotides) under uncultured Alphaproteobacteria bacterium. Its description in RNAcentral is "bacterial SSU rRNA". It matches the Rfam family "Bacterial small subunit ribosomal RNA", at positions 9 to 523 of the family's 1533-position model. Lineage: Bacteria; Pseudomonadati; Pseudomonadota; Alphaproteobacteria. The record is from RNAcentral.
GAGUUUGAUCCUGGCUCAGAACGAACGCUGGCGGCAGGCUUAACACAUGCAAGUUGAACGCGUGUAGCAAUACACGAGUGGCGCACGGGUGAGUAACGCGUGGGAAUAUGCCCUUCAGUACGGAAUAACGUCGGGAAACUGACGCUAAUACCGUAUAAUGUCUACGGACCAAAGAUUUAUCGCUGAAGGAUUAGCCCGCGUUGGAUUAGCUAGUUGGUGAGGUAACGGCUCACCAAGGCGAUGAUCCAUAGCUAGUCUGAGAGGAUGAUCAGCCACACUGGGACUGAGACACGGCCCAGACUCCUACGGGAGGCAGCAGUGAGGAAUAUUGGACAAUGGGGGCAACCCUGAUCCAGCCAUGCCGCGUGAGUGAUGAAGGCCCCUCGGGUUGUAAAGCUCUUUUAUCCCUGAAGAUAAUGACGGUAAGGGAAGAAAAGCCACGGCUAACUUCGUGCCAGCAGCCGCCGCCG